GAUGAACGCUGGCGGCGUGCCUAAUACAUGCAAGUCGAGCGAACAGAUGAGGAGCUUGCUCCUCUGACGUUAGCGGCGGACGGGUGAGUAACACGUGGAUAACCUACCUAUAAGACUGGGAUAACUUCGGGAAACCGGAGCUAAUACCGGAUAAUAUAUUGAACCGCAUGGUUCAAUAGUGAAAGACGGUUUUGCUGUCACUUAUAGAUGGAUCCGCGUCGCAUUAGCUAGUUGGUAAGGUAACGGCUUACCAAGGCAACGAUGCGUAGCCGACCUGAGAGGGUGAUCGGCCACACUGGAACUGAGACACGGUCCAGACUCCUACGGGAGGCAGCAGUAGGGAAUCUUCCGCAAUGGGCGAAAGCCUGACGGAGCAACGCCGCGUGAGUGAUGAAGGUCUUCGGAUCGUAAAACUCUGUUAUUAGGGAAGAACAAAUGUGUAAGUAACUAUGCACGCCUUGACGGUACCUAAUCAGAAAGCCACGGCUAACUACGUG
RNAcentral lists this ribosomal RNA (497 nucleotides) under uncultured bacterium. RNAcentral's name for it is "partial 16S ribosomal RNA". It matches the Rfam family "Bacterial small subunit ribosomal RNA", at positions 28 to 507 of the family's 1533-position model. The record is from RNAcentral.